AGAGCGAACGCUGGCGGCAGGCCUAACACAUGCAAGUCGAGCGCCCCGCAAGGGGAGCGGCAGACGGGAGAGUAACACGUGGGAACGUACCCUUUGGUUCGGAACAACACAGGGAAACUUGUGCUAAUACCGGAUAAGCCCUUACGGGGAAAGAUUUAUCGCCAAAGGAUCGGCCCGCGUCUGAUUAGCUUGUUGGUGAGGUAACGGCUCACCAAGGCUACGAUCAGUAGCUGGUCUGAGAGGAUGAUCAGCCUCACUGGGACUGAGACACGGCCCAGACUCCUACGGGAGGCAGCAGUGGGGAAUAUUGGACAAUGGGGGCAACCCUGAUCCAGCCAUGCCGCGUGAAUGAUGAAGGCCUUCGGGUUGUAAAGUUCUUUUGGUGGGACGAUGAUGACGGUACCACAGAAUAAGCUCCGGCUAACUUCGUGCCAGCAGCCGC
Molecule: ribosomal RNA, 442 nt
Filed under: uncultured bacterium
Lineage: Bacteria
Description: SSU rRNA
Rfam family: Bacterial small subunit ribosomal RNA
Source: RNAcentral